RNAcentral lists this ribosomal RNA (254 nucleotides) under uncultured bacterium. Its description in RNAcentral is "partial 16S ribosomal RNA". It matches the Rfam family "Bacterial small subunit ribosomal RNA", at positions 524 to 776 of the family's 1533-position model. The record is from RNAcentral.
UACGUAGGGCGCAAGCGUUAUCCGGAAUUAUUGGGCGUAAAGAGCUCGUAGGCGGUUUGUCGCGUCUGCCGUGAAAGUCCGGGGCUCAACUCCGGAUCUGCGGUGGGUACGGGCAGACUAGAGUGAUGUAGGGGAGACUGGAAUUCCUGGUGUAGCGGUGAAAUGCGCAGAUAUCAGGAGGAACACCGAUGGCGAAGGCAGGUCUCUGGGCAUUAACUGACGCUGAGGAGCGAAAGUGUGGGGAGCGAAACAGG